Molecule: non-coding RNA, 759 nt
Organism: Malus domestica (apple)
Lineage: Eukaryota; Viridiplantae; Streptophyta; Magnoliopsida; Rosales; Rosaceae
Source: RefSeq, a predicted model, not a curated record
AUGAGUUGGAAUUUCAAUAUUGCAUGGAGGAAGUUCCUUGGGAAAAAAUUGAGCGUAUAUAUUGAAGCUGUUUCAGAGGGAGAAUGGACCUCUCUUAGUGGGAUUAAACUGUUGAGGAGGUAGAUUUCAUGUCCCAGUUGCUUGGAAACUUUGUAAACCAGACAUCAAUCAUCGGAAUAGAUCCAGAUUUGGCCUGGAGGCAACUAUGAAGAUUUGAGCGCCCUCCCCUCACUCUCUCGAUCAUAUAUUGGUCUGUCUUUCAAGGCUCGGAUUGUAAUCCUUGAGAAACCCACUGCCGUAAAUCUGCCUUAAGAGCUGCAAUUUUCCUAGAGUUAUAUAUAUCGAUCAAUUACUCAACUUUGAUGAUAGAAGUCAUAACGUUUGUUCUGCUUGCUUCCAGUUUCUGGAAUUCAAGACAAGUAUCCAGACAAUUUUGACCUUGAUAUAUUAACAAUGGUCGUGAAGAGAAAGAAGAAGAUGAUUAUAGGCUCUACCAUAAGAGGGAGAUCAAUGAAUUUCGUUACCCUUAAAAACGGUUGAAUUUCAUUUAUUGUGUUCUGGAAAAUGAGUAAUCAAUCGUUACGCAAAGGUAAGCUAUUUAAGUUUGGGUCCAUAUUCGGAUUAUUUGAUUCAUUCCUGUGUUGCAUGUUAAGAUUCGUCUUGGUGAAGCUGAUUAAGAAUGUACAAAUUGAAAUUGUUAUGGGUGGUCUCAAAUUUGGGUAAGAACCGUGAAUCUCUAACACUCUUCCUUAUCUCUAA